RNAcentral lists this transfer RNA (64 nucleotides) under Pachyphlegyas modiglianii. RNAcentral's name for it is "tRNA-Ala". Lineage: Eukaryota; Metazoa; Arthropoda; Insecta; Hemiptera; Pachygronthidae. The record is from RNAcentral.
AGGGAUGUAGUUUAUAAAUAACAUCUAUGUUGCAAAUAGAAAAUGCUUAAUAAAGCCCUCCUUA